Molecule: ribosomal RNA, 465 nt
Filed under: uncultured bacterium
Lineage: Bacteria
Description: partial 16S ribosomal RNA
Rfam family: Bacterial small subunit ribosomal RNA
Source: RNAcentral
GACGAACGCUGGCGGCGUGCUUAACACAUGCAAGUCGAACGGAAAGGCCCCAGCUUGCUGGGGUACUCGAGUGGCGAACGGGUGAGUAACACGUGGGUGAUCUGCCCUGCACUCUGGGAUAAGCCUGGGAAACUGGGUCUAAUACCGGAUAGGACCGUGCUUUAGUGUGUGCGGUGGAAAGUUUUUCGGUGCAGGAUGAGCCCGCGGCCUAUCAGCUUGUUGGUGGGGUAAUGGCCUACCAAGGCGGCGACGGGUAGCCGGCCUGAGAGGGUGUACGGCCACAUUGGGACUGAGACACGGCACAGACUCCUACGGGAGGCAGCAGUGGGGAAUAUUGCACAAUGGGCGCAAGCCUGAUGCAGAGACGCCGCGUGGGGGAUGACGGCCUUCGGGUUGUAAACCCCUUUCGGCAGGGACGAAGCUUUUGUGACGGUACCUGCAUAAGAAGCACCGGCUAACUACGUG